RNAcentral lists this ribosomal RNA (550 nucleotides) under uncultured bacterium. RNAcentral describes it as "bacterial SSU rRNA". It matches the Rfam family "Bacterial small subunit ribosomal RNA", at positions 355 to 896 of the family's 1533-position model. The record is from RNAcentral.
UAGGGAAUCUUCCACAAUGGGCGCAAGCCUGAUGGAGCAACACCGCGUGAGUGAAGAAGGGUUUCGGCUCGUAAAGCUCUGUUGUUGGAGAAGAACGUGCGUGAGAGUAACUGUUCACGCAGUGACGGUAUCCAACCAGAAAGUCACGGCUAACUACGUGCCAGCAGCCGCGGUAAUACGUAGGUGGCAAGCGUUAUCCGGAUUUAUUGGGCGUAAAGCGAGCGCAGGCGGUUGCUUAGGUCUGAUGUGAAAGCCUUCGGCUUAACCGAAGAAGGGCAUCGGAAACCGGGCGACUUGAGUGCAGAAGAGGACAGUGGAACUCCAUGUGUAGCGGUGGAAUGCGUAGAUAUAUGGAAGAACACCAGUGGCGAAGGCGGCUGUCUGGUCUGCAACUGACGCUGAGGCUCGAAAGCAUGGGUAGCGAACAGGAUUAGAUACCCUGGUAGUCCAUGCCGUAAACGAUGAGUGCUAGGUGUUGGAGGGUUUCCGCCCUUCAGUGCCGGAGCUAACGCAUUAAGCACUCCGCCUGGGGAGUACGACCGCAAGGUUG